RNAcentral lists this ribosomal RNA (253 nucleotides) under uncultured bacterium. RNAcentral's name for it is "partial 16S ribosomal RNA". It matches the Rfam family "Bacterial small subunit ribosomal RNA", at positions 524 to 776 of the family's 1533-position model. The record is from RNAcentral.
UACGUAGGGCGCAAGCGUUGUCCGGAAUUAUUGGGCGUAAAGAGCUCGUAGGCGGUUUGUCGCGUCUGCUGUGAAAACCUAAGGCUCAACCUUGGGCUUGCAGUGGGUACGGGCAGACUAGAGUGCGGUAGGGGUGACUGGAAUUCCUGGUGUAGCGGUGAAAUGCGCAGAUAUCAGGAGGAACACCAAUGGCGAAAGCAGCUCUCUGGGACGGUACUGACGCUGAGACGCGAAAGCGUGGGGAGCGAACAGG